UCUGUAUAGUUUUCAUUUACUUUGGUGUA
RNAcentral lists this non-coding RNA (29 nucleotides) under Rattus norvegicus (Norway rat). The record is from RNAcentral. Lineage: Eukaryota; Metazoa; Chordata; Mammalia; Rodentia; Muridae.